RNAcentral lists this ribosomal RNA (465 nucleotides) under uncultured bacterium. RNAcentral's name for it is "bacterial SSU rRNA". It matches the Rfam family "Bacterial small subunit ribosomal RNA", at positions 917 to 1382 of the family's 1533-position model. The record is from RNAcentral.
GGGCCCGCACAAGCAGCGGAGCAUGUGGUUUAAUUCGAAGCAACGCGAAGAACCUUACCAGGUCUUGACAUCCAGUAAAAUCUGUAGAGAUACAGUGUGCCUUCGGGCGUACUGAGACAGGUGGUGCAUGGUUGUCGUCAGCUCGUGUCGUGAGAUGUUGGGUUAAGUCCCGCAACGAGCGCAACCCUUGUGAUCAGUUACUAACGGGUAAAGCCGAGGACUCUGAUAAGACUGCCGGGGACAACUCGGAGGAAGGUGGGGACGACGUCAAAUCAUCAUGCCCCUUAUGACCUGGGCUACACACGUGCUACAAUGGCCACUACAGAGAGCAGCCAAACCGUAAGGCGGAGCUAAUCUCACAAAAGUGGUCCCAGUUCGGAUUGUGGGCUGCAACCCGCCCACAUGAAGUCGGAGUUGCUAGUAAUCGCGGAUCAGCAUGCCGCGGUGAAUACGUUCCCGGGCCUU